UAAUGCUAAUACCCCAUAAUACUGAGGAGUUAAAGCAGCGAAAGCUGGCCAAAAGGGGAGCUUGCGUCUGAUUAGCUAGUUGGUGGGGGUAAAAGCCUCCCAAGGCCACGAUCAGUAGCUGGUUUGAGAGGAUGAUCAGCCACACUGGGACUGAGACACGGCCCAGACUCCUACGGGAGGCAGCAGUGAGGAAUUUUCCGCAAUGGGCGAAAGCCUGACGGAGCAAUACCGCGUGAGGGAAGAAGGCCCGUGGGUCGUAAACCUCUUUUCUUAGGGAAGAAACAAUGACGGUACCUAAGGAAUAAGCUCCGGCUAACCCCGUGCCAGCAGCCGCGGUAAUACGGGGGGAGCAAGCGUUAUCCGGAAUGAUUGGGCGUAAAGCGUCUGUAGGUGGUCUGAAAAGUUUCCUGUCAAAUCCCAAGGCUCAACCUUGGCCAGGCAGUAAAGUACUUUCAGACUUGAGUGCGGUAGAGGUAGAGGGAAUCCCUAGCGUAACAGUGAAAUGUGUAGAUUUUAGGGAGAACACCAGCGGCGAAGGCGCUCUACUGGGCCGAGACUGACACUGAGAGACGAAAGCUAAGGGAGAGAAUAGGAUUAGAUACCCUAGUAUUCUUAGCUGUAAACGAUGGAAACUAAGUGCUGCCGAACGCAGUGCUGUAGCUAACGCGUUAAGUUUCCCGCCUGGGGAGUACGCUCGCAAGAGUUAAACUCAAAGGAAUUGACGGGGGCCCGCACAAGAGGUGGAUUAUGUGGUUUAAUUCGAUGCAACGCGAAGAACCUUACCAGGGUUUGACAUGCUCAGGAUUUUUCAGAAAUGGAAGAGUGCCAGAAAUGGAGCUGAGUCACAGGUGGUGCAUGGCUGUCGUCAGCUCGUGCGUUGACGUGUAUGGUUAAGUCCUGCAACGAGCGCAACCCUCGUCUUUAGUUAAAUUCUCUAAAGAGACUGCCAGUGCAAACUGGAGGAAGGUGAGGAUGACGUCAAGUCAGCAUGCCCCUUACACCCUGGGCGACACACGUAAUACAAUGGUUGGGACAAUCAGAAGCGAUCCUGCGAAGGCUAGCGAAUCUGUUAAACUCAACCUCAGUUCGGAUUGGAGGCUGCAACUCGCCUCCAUGAAGUCGGAAUCUCUAGUAAUCGCCUAUCAGCCAUGAGGCGGUGAAUACGUUCCCGGGCCUUGUACACACAGCCCGUCACAUCAAGGGAGAAGAUUCUUCCCAAAGCCGGUAGUCUAACCCUUGGGAGGGCGCUGACAAAGGAAGGGUUUUUGACCAUGAUGAAGUCGUAACAAGGU
This 1292-nucleotide ribosomal RNA is filed under the name metagenome. Its description in RNAcentral is "bacterial SSU rRNA". It matches the Rfam family "Bacterial small subunit ribosomal RNA", at positions 158 to 1497 of the family's 1533-position model. The record is from RNAcentral.